AUACGGAGGGUGCAAGCGUUAAUCGGAUUUACUGGGCGUAAAGCGCGCGUAGGCGGUUUGGUAAGUCGGAUGUGAAAUCCCAGGGCUCAACCUUGGAACUGCAUUCGAUACUGCCUCACUAGAGUAUGGUAGAGGGAAGUGGAAUUCCGGGUGUAGCGGUGAAAUGCGUAGAUAUCCGGAGGAACAUCAGUGGCGAAGGCGACUUCCUGGCCCAAUACUGACGCUGAGGUGCGAAAGCGUGGGGAGCAAACAGGAUUAGAAACCCCUGUAGUCC
RNAcentral lists this ribosomal RNA (274 nucleotides) under uncultured bacterium. RNAcentral describes it as "partial 16S ribosomal RNA". It matches the Rfam family "Bacterial small subunit ribosomal RNA", at positions 523 to 796 of the family's 1533-position model. The record is from RNAcentral.